AAAAUUAAGAAACGAAAACCAAAUGGUUCACGAUGGAGUUCUGGAAUCUAUUCUCUUUAACAGAUAACUGGAAGAAUUCUUCCACUUGCGGCAGAGUAAGUCCCUUCCUUCUGCAGAAAACAACUAUAAAACUUAAAUAGGAAUAUAGUGCUGAGACAUUUAUCCCAAGACAAAAACCCAGAAGACUCAGACAAGGAAGCAGAAAGCUUGCAUGUCACUUCCUACAGGAGACACAAAGAUCACUAGAAAGCCAGCACAGCCCAUGUCUGAGCAAAGUAACGAGAUACGACAGAAGAACUGGGUGUGAAGCCCACCCAAGUCGUGCUGGGGACCAGGAAACUGCAGAAGCACGUGAGUGCUCACCAUGAAGGUGGAACCAGGGAGGUGUGUGGAGGUGCGUGUGGAAAUCUUAAGGGAGAGUAAAUUUCCUGUAAGCAAGUGAAACAAAUUAAGAUUUAGA
Long non-coding RNA from Suricata suricatta (meerkat), 460 nucleotides. RefSeq lists it as uncharacterized. The record is from RefSeq and is a predicted model, not a curated record. NCBI's taxonomy places the organism in Eukaryota, Metazoa, Chordata, Mammalia, Carnivora, Herpestidae. The transcript has 3 exons.